Molecule: ribosomal RNA, 465 nt
Filed under: uncultured bacterium
Lineage: Bacteria
Description: partial 16S ribosomal RNA
Rfam family: Bacterial small subunit ribosomal RNA
Source: RNAcentral
GACGAACGCUGGCGGCGUGCUUAACACAUGCAAGUCGUACGGUAAGGCCCUUUCGGGGGUACACGAGUGGCGAACGGGUGAGUAACACGUGAGUAACCUGCCCACAACUUUGGGAUAACGCUAGGAAACUGGUGCUAAUACUGGAUAUGUGCUCCUGCUGCAUGGUGGGGGUUGGAAAGCUCCGGCGGUUGUGGAUGGACUCGCGGCCUAUCAGCUUGUUGGUGGGGUAGUGGCCUACCAAGGCGGCGACGGGUAGCCGGCCUGAGAGGGUGACCGGCCACAUUGGGACUGAGAUACGGCCCAGACUCCUACGAGAGGCAGCAGUGGGGAAUAUUGCACAAUGGGCGCAAGCCUGAUGCAGCAACGCCGCGUGCGGGAUGACGGCCUUCGGGUUGUAAACCGCUUUCAGCAGGGACGAAGCUUUUUGUGACGGUACCUGCAGAAGAAGCACCGGCUAACUACGUG